This 253-nucleotide ribosomal RNA is filed under the name uncultured bacterium. RNAcentral's name for it is "partial 16S ribosomal RNA". It matches the Rfam family "Bacterial small subunit ribosomal RNA", at positions 524 to 776 of the family's 1533-position model. The record is from RNAcentral.
UACAGAGGGGGCAAGCGUUAUUCGGAAUUAUUGGGCGUAAAGCGCGCGCAGGUGGUUUCUUAAGUCUGAUGUGAAAGCCCACGGCUCAACCGUGGAGGGUCAUUGGAAACUGGGGAACUUGAGUGCAGAAGAGGAAAGUGGAAUUCCAAGUGUAGCGGUGAAAUGCGUAGAGAUUUGGAGGAACACCAGUGGCGAAGGCGACUUUCUGGUCUGUAACUGACACUGAGGCGCGAAAGCGUGGGGAGCGAACAGG